ACGCGCUGAAUUUAAGCAUAUCAGUAAGCGGAGGAAAAGAAACUAACUAGGAUUGUCUCAGUAGCGGCGAGUGAAGAGACAUCAGCCCAAGAUGAGAAUCUGCGAUGAGAGAUCGUGGAGUUGUAAUCUCGACAGUCAUUCGCUUCUAAAUUCCUUGGCUAACUUACUUGGAAAAGUAGGCCAUAGAAGGUGAGAGCCCUGUGUGCUAAGGAAUAAGGAUUUGCGAAUGUUUGGAAGAGUCGGGUUGUUUGGGAAUGCAGCCCUAAGUGGGAGAUAGACAUCUUCUAAGGCUAAAUACCGGUGGGAGACCGAUAGCGCACAAGUACUGCGAAGGAAAGAUGAAAAGAACUUUGAAAAGAGAGUUAAAAGAUGUGAAAUCGUUGAAGCGGAACUGAUCGCAGCCCGUCCAUGCCUUAGUCUCGUAUGAUGCAACAAGUCCACCUAUGCUCAAACAUAGAGACCAAAUGCAAAAAUACUGCUGAGGAUAAUCACAGAAUCAACUUUAUAUUAGGGAGAAAAGUUUUAACUGAGUUUUGUAGGACUGUAACCUAAUAUUGAGUUGAGGAUGAUUCUGUGAAAGCGACUGUGAUCGACCCGUCUUGAAACACGGACCAAGGAGUCUACCUCACAUGCGAGUGGGAGGGUGUUAAACCCGAACGCGUACUGAAAGGAAGUAUAAGAUGCGAAAGAAAUUGCAGCAUCAGCGAGCGUAAGCUUAGCAAGAGCAUGUGUGGUAGGACCCGAAAGAUGGUGAACUAUGCCCGAGUAGGGUGAAGCCAGGGGAAACUCUGGUGGAGGCUCGUAGCGUUACUGACGUGCAAAUCGUUCGUCGAACUUGGGUGUAGGGGCGAAAGACUAAUCGAACCCAUCUAGUAGCUGGUUCCCUCUGAAAUUUCUCUCAGGAUAGCUGGGACAGAGCAGUUUUAUCAGGUAAAGCGAAUGAUUAGAGGACUCGGAGGCCAGCGGCCUUUGGCCUAUUCUCAAACUUUAAAUUGGUAAGAGCCUUGUUGUUACUUAAUUGAACAAUAGGGAUCAAUGGAUGUCCUUAGUGGGCCAUUUUUGGUAAGCAGAACUGGCGAUGAGGGAUGAACCUAACGUCGGGCUAAGGUGCCCAAGUCCACGCUCAUGAGACACCACAAAAGGUGUUGGUUCAUUUAGACAGCAGGACGGUGGCCAUGGAAGUUGGAAUCCGCUAAGGAGUGUGUACCAACUCACCUGCCGAAUGAACUAGCCCUGAAAAUUGAUGGCGCUGUAGCGUGGCACCGAUACCCGACCAUUGUCCUAGAUUUGAAGGGACAAUGAGUAAGAGGGCGUAUACAUCGUGUUGAAGGCUCUGACGUGAGUCUGGCUCGAACGAUGUUUAGUGCAGAUCUUGGUGGUAGUAGCAAAUAUUCAAAUGAGAACUUUGAAGGCCGAAGUGGAGAAGGGUUCCGUGAGAACAGCACUUGAUCACGGGUUACUCGAUCCUAAGGCAUAGGGAAAUUCCUUGCAAUACAAGCAGUUUACUGCGAAGCCGAAAGGGAAUGAGGUUAAUAUUCCUCAAGCUAGGAAUGGAGGUUAAGUGGCAACACAAACGAACCCGGCGACGUCUGCGCUUUCCCCUGGAAGAGUUAUCUUUUCUUCUUAACAGUUCGACUCCUUGGAAUUUGGUUUAGCCAGAGGUAAGGAGGAGGAACUGGCAGAGCAGUCCAUGAUUGGACUGUCAGGUGCGUUGGCGAGGGCCCUUGAAAAGCCGGGGGAGAACUCUCAUUCUAGGUCGUACCCAUAACCGCAUCAGGUCUCCAAGGUU
RNAcentral lists this ribosomal RNA (1789 nucleotides) under Trichodina sp. 2. RNAcentral describes it as "partial large subunit ribosomal RNA". It matches the Rfam family "Eukaryotic large subunit ribosomal RNA", at positions 23 to 1874 of the family's 3401-position model. The record is from RNAcentral. Lineage: Eukaryota; Ciliophora; Oligohymenophorea; Mobilida; Trichodinidae.